CGGUAUGUUACGUCUGAGAUUAGUUUUUAACAGACACUGCGGCUUCUGUUUUGGUUUCUCUUGCUCUCUUUCUCUGGGAGCAUUUGCCCUUGGGAAAGCCAGCUGCCACGUCCCUAGCAGCCUGAUGGGGAGGCCCCACUGGCAAGGAACUGAGGGCUGCUGUGGGCGACAGCUCUGUGCAGUGAGCUUGGAAGUGGAUCCAGCCCAGCCUUCAGAUGACUGCAGUCUUAGCCAGCAACCUGAUGGCAACUGCGUGAGCGAUGCUGAGCCACAGCCACCCAGCUAAGCUGCUCCUGGACUCCUGACCCUCGGAAACUGGGAAAUAAUAAAUGUUUGCUAUCAUAAGCUGCUACACUUCGGGAGUAGUUACACAGGGUCAGAUAAAUAAUACAUACUCUUUGAAUAUUGAAUUUUAAAAUAUAAAUGAGAAAAUAUUCAGAGGUAAAAGAAGGCAAUCUGGGUUGGAGGCAGGCCAGUUGGAGUAGAAGCAUGGGCUGUGGCACAGUGGUGACCCCCGUGGGACAGGACGACCCAGGGCUCUGGGAGGAGGGGAGGCGUGGGUGCAGGGGGAGGAGGGCAGCCUAGGAUGCUGUCGGUGAGGCUGCAGGGCUGCUGUGGCCCGCAUGAGGGCGCCCCACACUGCCACAUCCAGCUGGGGGCGGGGUGGCAGGAACAGAGGAAGACCCGGAGGGGCCUUCUGCUGGGCCAGCAGGAAGGAGGGGUCCUGACUGCUUGCAGACUGGCCCCUAUCUCCAAGUUUCUCGUGUGUCCAAGCCUUGAAGAGGGCCUAGCCUGGCACUGGCACAUGGCAGGCACGUAGCGAUGACCACUGUGACGUUCCCCAGAGCCCACGUGCAUGCACACGUGCUGGGUGCCAGGACUGAGUGCCCUCCAGGCACAGAUACAGGAAUUUCUCUGAAGAUGAAACAUAUUUGCAAAAGUAAAAAGCAUCAGUAAAACAGCAACUAUCUGUGAAUGGACAAAAGACUCAAAAGGGCAACUGACAAAGAAACUUGGCUACUUCUGUACAACACUUCAAGAUAACAAUUGGAAUUACGACCAUAACCAGGACAGAUCAGAAUUUUAGGAACGCUAUAUAAUGUUAAGACACAUAUAUCAAUAAC
This 1124-nucleotide long non-coding RNA is filed under the name Equus caballus (horse). RNAcentral's name for it is "lncRNA (ENSECAG00000059287.1)". Lineage: Eukaryota; Metazoa; Chordata; Mammalia; Perissodactyla; Equidae. The record is from RNAcentral.